GAGGGUAUAGCUCAACUGGGUAGAGCACAUGCUUAGCACACACAAAGUCCUGGGUUCAAUCCCCAGUACCUCCU
This 74-nucleotide transfer RNA is filed under the name Camelus bactrianus (Bactrian camel). It matches the Rfam family "tRNA". From Rfam's summary of the family: Transfer RNA (tRNA) molecules are approximately 80 nucleotides in length. Their secondary structure includes four short double-helical elements and three loops (D, anti-codon, and T loops). Lineage: Eukaryota; Metazoa; Chordata; Mammalia; Artiodactyla; Camelidae. RNAcentral also lists the same sequence under 1 other name. The record is from Rfam by way of RNAcentral.